AUAGUUUCUUCGGCAUCUUGUUGAGCUCAGCAAUAUUUGUAGCUAACUUCUCGUUAAUUUGCUUGACAACUUCCGGCAUGCAUCUUGCUAUGCUACCUGUAACAAGAUUGACAAAUAACAUCAGGUCCCAUUUGGUAAUAGUUUUUAGUUUAUGAAAAUCUAUGAACACCCUUUUCACAUUUAAAGUUCUAUGUUUUCAAAACCAAGUCAAAUUUUGAAAACUAAAAAAUAUUAAAACUUUUUUUGUUUUUGGAACUUAGUUAAGAAUUAGACUCUUUUAUUUAAGAAUGAUGAAAAUCAUGGUACAAAAUCUAGAGAAAAUAAACUUAAUUUUCAAAAACCAAAAAACAAAAACAAAAUGGUUAUCUAAUAGAAACUAAGCUUUUGAGUGAGUUAUUAGUUUGGAUACCUGCUUGAAUUUGCACCAACUUCUGAGCCAAAACUGGAAUGCCCACAACAGAUUUGUCAAUCUUGGAAAGAAGAGGAUGAGUUGAAAACAGUUUGGCUUCUGCAACUCGAGCUUCCUCAUACGUCUCAUUGUCAAUUCGGUUCCUAACGCAAACAUAACCAAGGCCGAUAUUGACGUCGUCCGCAGUGACCUUCUCGUGU
This 609-nucleotide long non-coding RNA is filed under the name Cucumis sativus (cucumber). Its description in RNAcentral is "long non-coding RNA (CSAT_LNC000578)". Lineage: Eukaryota; Viridiplantae; Streptophyta; Magnoliopsida; Cucurbitales; Cucurbitaceae. The record is from RNAcentral.